GACGAACGCUGGCGGCGUGCUUAACACAUGCAAGUCGAACGGAAAGGCCCUGCUUUUGUGGGGUGCUCGAGUGGCGAACGGGUGAGUAACACGUGAGUAACCUGCCCUUGACUUUGGGAUAACUUCAGGAAACUGGGGCUAAUACCGGAUAGGAGCUCCUGCUGCAUGGUGGGGGUUGGAAAGUUUCGGCGGUUGGGGAUGGACUCGCGGCUUAUCAGCUUGUUGGUGGGGUAGUGGCUUACCAAGGCUUUGACGGGUAGCCGGCCUGGGAGGGUGACCGGCCACAGUGGGACUGGGGAACGGCCCGGACUCCUACGGGAGGCAGCGGCGGGAACUAGUGCACACUGGGCGGAGGCCUGAUGGAGCAUCGCCGCGUGCGGGAUGACGGCUUUCGGGUUGGAAACCGCUUUCGCCUGUGACGAAGCGUGAGUAACGGUAAUGGGUAAAGAAGCACCGGCUAACUACGU
RNAcentral lists this ribosomal RNA (467 nucleotides) under uncultured bacterium. RNAcentral's name for it is "partial 16S ribosomal RNA". It matches the Rfam family "Bacterial small subunit ribosomal RNA", at positions 28 to 506 of the family's 1533-position model. The record is from RNAcentral.